Molecule: ribosomal RNA, 375 nt
Filed under: uncultured bacterium
Lineage: Bacteria
Description: bacterial SSU rRNA
Rfam family: Bacterial small subunit ribosomal RNA
Source: RNAcentral
ACUCCUACGGGAGGCAGCAGUGGGGAAUAUUGCACAAUGGGGGAAACCCUGAUGCAGCCAUGCCGCGUGUGUGAAGAAGGCCUUGGUUGUAAAGCACUUUCAGUAGGAGGAAGGUAGUGUAGUUAACACCUGCAUUAUUUGUACGUUACCUACAGAAGAAGCACCGGCUAACUCCGUGCCAGCAGCCGCGGUAAUACGGAGGGUGCGAGCGUUAAUCGGAAUUACUGGGCGUAAAGCGCAUGCAGGCGGCCUGUUAAGUCAGAUGUGAAAGCCCGGGGCUUAACCUCGGAAUUGCAUUUGAAACUGGCAGGCUAGAGUCUUGUAGAGGGGUUAGGAAUUUCAGGUGUAGCGGUGAAAUGCGUAGAGAUCUGAAGG